GACAUCUCAAGGGAAGGGAACAAAACAAUUUUUUAGCUGAGGAUAAGUACUGUGUAACUCGUGAAAACAAUAUAAAUGUGUAUUUAGUGACAACAGAAAAUGGGGAUUUUUUACAUGUUAUUUCUCUGCUUAACAACACCCCCCUCCCCCGCCCCCCACAAAGAGCCUGUUGCUCUUGGAAUAAUCCAAACUCCUAAGCGUGGCCCCUACCUACCUCUCUGAGCACCUAUCUCCACCCUGCUCACUGUGCCCUGGGCCCUCUGGCUCUUCCUUCACUUUAAUUUGCACACCAAGUCUGCUGCUUCAGAGGCUUUGCCCUGUUUUCCUCUGCUGGGCACACAGUCUCCAGAGCACUCACGGCUGCCUCGUUCUCCUGAUUCAGGACUCAGCACAAAUGCCAUCUGUUCAGAGGCCUUUCCUAAACAGCUUUCAAAAGUAGCAUCUCUCCUCCUGUCAUGCUAGAUCACAUCUAUGAUUUAUUGUCUUUUUUCCACCAGAGUCUCAGCUGUUUUGCUUUCUGCUAUAUCCCUGAUACCUAGAAUAAACAGCACGAGGCACUUGGUAGUCCCAGGAACUGUUAGCUGACAGAAUGAAUGACGUGAAAAUGAAAACAAGAGGAAAAAGACAUCGUGAAUGGAAUAAAGGUCUCAAAGGAUGUGGCCCAAAUGCUAACGCUCUGUCCCACAGAGUCCGAUCUAGGACCCUGCCCUGCCCACCCCAACCACCCUGAGCUGCUGCAGUGGUGCCUGCUCACCUUGGGGAAGUAUCCGGGCCUUCACAGGGGCUUUGGCGGCUUUUACGAUCUCCUUCAGCAUCUUCCGCUCCUCUUCUCCCACCAGAGACACUGAGCGCCCAGCCCUGCCAGCCCGCGCCGUUCGCCCCACUCGGUGGACAUAAUGCUUGAUGGUGUUGGGCAUCGUGAAGUUGAUUACCUGGAAGGUCAAAGUCAGACCUGGGAGUUGGAGGGAAAGGGGACACAAGGAGGCACAAAGACUCCCACCAAAAAUUCAAGGAAGAUACGAGCUGCUCACCGUUUUGACCCCCUCGAUGUCAAGUCCACGGGCUGCCACAUCUGUGGCCACAAGGAUGUCAAUCUGUUCGUCCUUAAAGCGCCUGGAAAUAGCCACAAACAGAUGUUCACUUGGAUACUUAAGCCCAAAAACGCUUGCAGGAGCCUGAGCCAGCAGAGAGAACACCAAUCCCUUUGGAGUCAAGCAGCAGAGUAUAGAUGGUCAGAGUGACCAUCUGGACAAGAUCCUAAACGUCAGACCAUCUAAUACUUCACACAACACCUUAAACAUCCUGUAACACAGAACAAAUGUAGUUUUGUUUAUACCACCUUAAGCCCCAACUCUACAAAUACGAAAGUCAGGAACCACAGAGCUAGAUUAUAGGAAGUAGCAGAUGCAAAUGUCUUCCGCGUUCAAGACAGCCUUUCUUUAUAAAAAUAACUUGCAGCUGCCUAUGAUCUAUGGGGAUAGGUGGAGAAUUCUAAAGGUUUCUCCCUGCCUACCAGCAUGACUCCAUUCUAUGAGAAUUAAACAAGAAAACACAUGGAAAAACAAAGGGCAAGGGCACAGCAAAGUAAAUGAUGAGGAAAUGGCGGCUGGCUUUGAUUCCAAAUCCCAUUCUAUCAGACCCAGGUAUGCCCACUGCUCUGGAAAACCUAUAAAGAACAAGACACAUGCUAUGUCCUCCCAAGUCAGAAUUUCCUGCUGUGGCCUCCUCAGCAGUUCCCACACUCUAUCCUAGGGCACGAGUGUCAUCUGAGGGACUACAAGGAGUUCUGAAUGCGUCUGAGACAACCUUACAGCAGUGAGACUAAAAUCUUUGAAGUAGGGAGUCGUGCUAUCUGCAUUCCAUGCUACUGCUCUAACGUAACCUCUGUGUGGGAUUUUCCCCCUUUCAAAUGAGAGCCCUUUCUGAAGGAUGGAGGGGAGCCUCAGGCCCCCGAAGUUUACCGGAGGGCCUCCAGCCGCUGUGUCUGUGACAGGUUGCCAUGGAGCUCGCCCACCUGCAGCCCCAUGAGCCCCAGGAGGAUGUGCAUGCGGUGGGCCUGCUUCUUGGUCUGGGUGAACAGCAUCACGUGGUCAGUGAAGGUUCUUGUCAACAGAGCUGGAGAGGAGAGAAGAGUGAGCUGGAAGCCACCUCCAAUACAUACUCCCCACUCCCUCACCUAUGAAGUGGCUGCUGUGCCUGGCACUGGAGAAGACAGGCUCACGUUCCAGGGCAGAGAAGAGAAGCCAAUUCCCAAGUGUGAUAAAUGCUGUGGGAGAGUGAAAGCAAGACAGGGAGGCAGCUUUAGGGCUGGCCUCUCUAAAGAGGUGAUACUAGGCUGAAUGACAAAGUACAAGAUUUGGGGGAAGAUUUCAGGCAGAGGAAAGAGCAAAUGUAAAGGCCCCGAGGCAAGACAAACUUGGUUUCAACGAAAGCAGGAGAGCAUGGCUGGGCAUCAUGAGCAAAGGCACCAAGGCUGAGGACUCCAGGCAGGCAGGGGCCAGGUCCCAGAGGGCCAUACGGGACUUGCUAGGGAGUGUAGAUUGUGGUCUAAGUGCGAUGGGGAGACACCAGAGGGUUGUAAAUAGGGAGGUAACGUGAGCAAAUGUUCACUAGUAAAUGAUCACUUUAAAUGAUCAGCAGUGUGGAGAAAGGGUUACCAAGGAACAAGAGUGGGAGUAGGAGCCAAGUACAAGGCCACUGCCAACAAUUCAGGCAAGAGAAGCAGUAGCUUGAACCAAGGGCCAGAGGGGUGGUGGUGGGGGAAAUAGCUAUGUAUUCAGCAGGACCGAAAGAGGACUGGACAGCAGGAAAGAGGUGAGGUGACAGAAAAAGGGAAGGAAGGACCUGUGGCCCACGUGGCAGAGCAAAUAAAUAAACAGAAGUACCAUGCAACAGGUCAGGGGAUCCUGAGAGAGGAGGUGUCAGGAAACACCCCACCGCUAGAGUGGGCCACCCACAAGGCCAAGGGAAUCUGGCACAUUGGGCUUUCACCUGCCACGAUGGCUUCCCGGUCCCCUUCCCGAUUCGGCCGGAUCCGGACAAACUCCUGCCUCAGGAAGGGGGCCACAUCCGUGUUGCUGUUCACAAAUAUUCGGACGGGAUUCUUCAAGGAGACAGAAGCCAGAUCUUUUACCUGCCCAGCACAAAGACAGGAAUGCUCACUGGCCUGCCAGGAGGCAGGGAGGUGGGGAGAGGAGGAGGCAGUGGAGGCAAGCCAUGUUUGCCCCAGGCCCCCCGCUGCAGCCCAGGCAGGGUCCUCUGCACCCCUCCGUUCACCCCACCAAGCAGAAUUCCUGAGGCCCACCUCGUCCGUCAUAGUGGCUGAGAAAAGCAUCGUCUGGCGGUGGUGGGAACACAUCCGGAUGAUCUCCUUCAUCUGUUCCUCAAAGUACUCGUCCAGCAUCCUGAUACGCAGGGAGAAGGAAUCAAGAGAAAUGGACUGAGCUUGCAUCUGUUGCAGUGAUGUUGUAACUGGUUACGUUGCAGGCUCAUUUAUUGACUUAUGAAUUAGUACUGUUGGUUUAGCUGUUCACCAAGAUUCACUAAGAACUAUCAUCUGGCCACGUUUGUUUUUAUCUUUUUUUUUUUUGCAGAGCUAUUUAUAAGUUGCAGACAUCACCACACCUUGACCCUAACUAUCUCAGUGCACAAUCCCUAAGGACCUUCUCCUACAUAAUCAUAAUGUCGUUAUCACACCCAAAACGUUGAAGUGUUUGAGUAGUGUCUAAACUACAGUCCAUAUUGAAAUAUCCCUAACUAUCUCCAAAAUGUCAUUUUAUAGCUGUCUUUUUAUGUUUUCAGUGCAGGAACCAAAGUUCCUACACUGCAUUGGCUGUCAUGUUUCUUUGGUCUCCCUUCAUCCAGAAAAGUCUCCUCAAGCUUUUUCACAUUCUGUCUUUGUCUGAUUAUUUCCCAGUGACCUGAUUCAAUAACUCAUCGCUGCGAGAACGUGCAGGGAUGCGGCUGUGCACCUCCCUCUCCAUCUGGAGACAGACAGUCACUGACGAAUUAGGCCUGGCCUCGCCCCUGGGUCUCUACUACGCAGGGCGUGGAUUCAACAUGAGGUCAGUGAUGGACACUGAGUUCACCAAGACGACACAGCACGCUGCCGGCACCGGAGCGGAGGUGAUGAAAAGUUAGUGGCGAGCAAACUGAAGAAGAUUUUGGGGCCCCCUUCCAGGGACACUUGCCGGUCUGGCAGGAGGCCGCCGAGGAGUUGAGGGCAGGGGCCUGAAGAAGCAUGGAGAAAGGAAGCAGUAACAGAAAUAUGAAUGCGCGCCGCAGCGCCCCGAACCCAGAUAGGCUCAUACCUCCUC
Molecule: long non-coding RNA, 4316 nt
Organism: Lynx canadensis (Canada lynx)
Lineage: Eukaryota; Metazoa; Chordata; Mammalia; Carnivora; Felidae
Exons: 3
Source: RefSeq, a predicted model, not a curated record